This 283-nucleotide ribosomal RNA is filed under the name uncultured Ascomycota. Its description in RNAcentral is "partial 18S ribosomal RNA". It matches the Rfam family "Eukaryotic small subunit ribosomal RNA", at positions 548 to 837 of the family's 1831-position model. The record is from RNAcentral. Lineage: Eukaryota; Fungi; Ascomycota.
UUGGUGGGCAAGUUUGGUGCCAGCAGCCGCGGUAAUUCCAGCUCCAAUAGCGUAUAUUAAAGUUGUUGUGGUUAAAAAGCUCGUAGUUGAACCUUGGGCCUGGCUGGCCGGUCCGCCUCACCGCGUGUACUGGUCCGGCCGGGCCUUUCCCUCUGUGGAACCCCAUGCCCUUCACUGGGUGUGGCGGGGAAACAGGACUUUUACUUUGAAAAAAUUAGAGUGCUCCAGGCAGGCCUAUGCUCGAAUACAUUAGCAUGGAAUAAUAGAAUAGGACGUGUGGUUU